Molecule: unclassified non-coding RNA, 146 nt
Filed under: soil metagenome
Description: partial internal transcribed spacer 1
Source: RNAcentral
UAAUAAGUGUUUUAUGGCACUUUUUAAAUCCAUAUCCACCUUGUGUGCAAUGUCAGUCGAUCUUCUUUUAUGGAGGAUCGACCAAACAUCAACCAUUAUUUUUAACUCUUUGUCUGAAAAAUAUUAUGAAUAAACAAUUCAAAAUA